Molecule: long non-coding RNA, 742 nt
Filed under: Physcomitrium patens
Lineage: Eukaryota; Viridiplantae; Streptophyta; Bryopsida; Funariales; Funariaceae
Description: long non-coding RNA (PPAT_LNC004829)
Source: RNAcentral
UUAAAUUUUUUAUAGGAAUUACUAGGAUUUGGUUAGGAUUUGAUUUAGGUUAUAGGAUUUGGUUUAGGGUAUAAGAUUUGGAUUAGGGUUUGAUUUAGAGUUUAGAGUUUGGUUAGGAUUUGAUUUAGGAUUUAGGAUUUGAUUAGGAUUUGAUUUAGAAUUUAGGGUUUAUAUUGGGGUUUAGUUUAAGGUUUGUUUAGGAUUUGAUUUAGGGCUUGGUUUAAGGUUUAGUUAAUAUUUUAUUUAGGAUUUGGAUUAGGAUUUGGUUAGGGUUUGAUUUAGGAUUCAGAGUUUGGUUUAAGAUUUGAUUUAGGAUUUAGGAUUUGGUUAGGAUUUGAUUUAGGAUUUAGAAUUUGGAUUAAGAUUUGGUUUAGGAUAUGAUUAAGGUUUUAAUUAGAAUUUAGAGUUUGGAUUAGAAUUAGAUUUAGGAUUUAGGAUUUGGAUUAAGAUUUGGUUAGGGUUUGAUUUAGGAUUUGUUUAGGAUUUGGUUUAGGAUUUGAUUGGGGUUUGGUUUAAGGUUUAUUUAGGAUUUGAUUUAGGAUUUAGGAUUUUAUUAGAAUUUAAGAUUCAAUUAGUUUUGGCCUAAAUUUUGAAUGAAGUUCAAUAAGAUAUUAACUAGAAUUAAAUUAAGAUUGAAUUGAGAUGUAUUUGAGUGAUAUUUGUGAUCCUUCUAAUAUUUCUUUAAGAAUUUUUUUUUUUUUUUUUGAAAUUUCUCUAAGGUUUCUUUGAAUUUGAUUAAGCU